UGUAGGCUGAUGUGCUGCCUUAUAAAGCAAUGUUUUCGGGGGAAAGUAAAACAAUUUCAUCAACCCAUUUCCUGAAAGUUUGUAAACUUGUUUCCCCCUCACUCUGAUCAAGUUCUCUGUCAGAUAUAGUAGCAACUUACUUCUCUGAGGUGCUUCUUGUAAAAUAUAGCAGCUUUACUAUUGCUGUGAAAAACAUGGCUGAGGAAAAUCCUGCGGAUGGAAAUGUAAUCAAGGAGCAGGGAACGGCAGCAUCAAACGGCCACUCAGCAGUAGUGGAGGACUCUCAAAACAACCCACAAGAUACAAGCAAGAGCAAGGAGGAUGGCACCAAAACAGUACCAUAUCACAAGCUUUUCUCCUUUGCUGAUUCCUUGGAUUACCUGUUAAUGUCUGUUGGUACAAUCAGCGCUAUUGGAAAUGGGUUCUGUAUGCCUCUAAUGACCAUAAUCUUUGGAGAUGUGAUUAACUCCUUUGGAGAAAGUGGGAAUAAUAAAGACGUGGUUGAUGCAGUUUCCAAGGUGGCUCUAAAGUUUGUCUACUUGGCAGUGGGAGCUGCUGCAGCUGCAUUUCUACAGAUGUCUUGCUGGAUGGUCACGGGAGAGAGACAGGCUGCUCGAAUAAGAAGUUUAUACUUGAAAACAAUACUGAGGCAAGAUGUUGGCUUUUUUGAUAAAGAAAUUAACACUGGGGAAAUUGUUGGGAGGAUGUCAGGUGAUACUGUGCUGAUUCAAGAGGCCAUGGGCGAGAAGGUAGGAACUUUUGUCCAGUUAAUUGCAACAUUCGUAGGAGGCUUUGUUAUAGCAUUUGUUAAGGGAUGGCUUCUCACCCUUGUCAUGCUAUCUUCUAUCCCCCUUCUUGUCCUCUCUGGUGCCGUCAUGGCCAUCCUUAUAUCAAAGAUGGCAUCCAGUGGACAAACUGCUUAUUCAGUGGCAGCAACUGUGGUAGAGCAGACAAUUGGUUCAAUCAGAACAGUUGCAUCGUUUACAGGAGAAAAGCAAGCUAUAACUAAUUACAACAACUCCUUAAUUAAAGCUUACAACUCUGGUGUGCAAGAGGGUUUGGCAUCUGGGUUCGGAAUUGGUUCGGCUAUGCUGAUUAUAAUGUGGAGUUAUGCUCUGGCUAUAUGGUUUGGAGGAAAGAUGAUACUUGAAAAAGGAUAUACAGGAGGGGAAGUCAUUAAUAUAGUUUUCGCUGUAUUGACUGGCUCCAUGUCUCUUGGGCAGGCAUCUCCAUGCUUGAGUGCAUUUGCUGCUGGACAAGCUGCAGCUUAUAAGAUGUUUGAGACAAUUGACAGAAAGCCAGAGAUUGAUGCUUCUGACACUAACGGGCAACAAUUACAUGAUAUCCGUGGCGACAUAGAUAUUUUAGUUAUCCUGCAAGACCGGAUGAACAAAUAUUCGAUGGAUUUUCUCUCUCAAUACCUAGUGGUGCAACUGCUGCUUUGGUUGGAGAGAGUGGAAGUGGUAAAUCAACUGUAAUCAGUUUGAUUGAGAGAUUUUAUGACCCCCUAGCUGGCGAAGUUCUUAUUGAUGGUAUUAAUCUCAAAGAGUUCCAACUGAAAUGGAUCAGACAGAAAAUAGGCCUUGUCAGCCAGGAACCCGUUUUAUUUACUUGUAGCAUUAAAGAUAAUAUUGCCUAUGGGAAGGAUGGUGCAACCACUGAAGAAAUAAGGGCUGCUGCUGAGCUUGCCAAUGCUGCUAAAUUCAUAGACAAACUGCCUCAGGGACUGGACACAAUGGUUGGUGAGCAUGGAACUCAGCUAUCUGGGGGCCAAAAGCAGAGAAUUGCAAUAGCUAGAGCAAUUCUCAAAGACCCAAGGAUUUUACUUUUAGAUGAAGCCACAAGUGCUCUUGAUGCAGAAUCUGAGAGAAUUGUGCAGGACGCACUGGACAGAAUUAUGAUCAACCGGACUACUGUCGUUGUAGCCCACCGCUUGAGCACAGUAAGGAAUGCUGACACCAUUGCUGUUAUACAUCGAGGAACAAUUGUUGAAAAAGGUCCACAUUCUGAGCUAAUUAAGGACCCUGGAGGAGCAUAUAGCCAGCUUAUAAGGUUGCAAGAAAUGAGCAGCGUGUCAGAACAGACUUCUGUAAAUGAUCACGAAAGGCUUAGCAGCGUGGAUUCUCGAAGACAUUCAAGUAAAAGAUUUUCAAACUUGCGAUCCAUAAGCCGGGGAUCAUCUGGAAGAGGAAAUAGUUACCGUCAUUCCUUCUCAAUCUCAUACGGUGUGCCCACUGCAGUCAGUUCUCUUGAAACAGCAUCUGCAGGACAUGAUAUUCCUGCUUCAGCAUCAUCAAGAGUGCCUCCAGAAGUCUCACUUUGCCGCCUGGCUUACCUGAACAAGCCAGAGAUCCCAGUAUUAUUACUAGGUACUUUAGCUGCAGCAGUCAAUGGGGCAAUCUUACCUAUUUUUGCGAUAUUGCUAUCCAGUGUAAUCAAGACCUACUACGAGCCACCUCCUCAACUCCGUAAGGAUUCGAAGUUUUGGGCAUUAAUCUUCAUUGUUCUUGGAGUGGUAACUUUCAUAGCAAUGCCAGCAAGACAAUACUUUUUUGCGGUGGCAGGGUGUAAGUUAAUAAAACGAGUUCGAUCAAUGUGCUAUGAGAAGGUGGUUUACAUGGAAGUAAGUUGGUUUGACGAUCCUGAGCACUCAAGUGGUGCAAUUGGUGCGAGGCUUUCCGCAGAUGCAGCUUCUCUGCGUGGGCUGGUUGGAGAUGCUCUAGGGUUGCUGGUUGAGAAUUCAGCAACUGCAAUUGCUGGUUUGUGUAUUGCUUUUGUGGCAAAUUGGCAACUUUCUCUUAUAAUCCUGGUUUUGCUGCCUCUAUUAGGAUUAGCUGGUUAUGUUCAAGUCAAGUUCUUGAAAGGAUUCAGUGCAGAUGCAAAGAAAAUGUACGAGGACGCAAGUCAAGUAGCCAAUGAUGCAGUUGGGAGUAUUCGAACAAUUGCUUCCUUUUGUGCUGAAGAGAAGGUGAUUGGAUUGUACCAGAAGAAAUGUGAAGGCCCUAUUAAGACAGGGAUAAGACGAGGGUUAAUCAGCGGGAUAGGUUUUGGGCUAUCGUUCUUUUUUCUUUUUUCUGUGUAUGCCUGCAGUUUUUAUGCUGGAGCCCGACUUGUUGCAGCAGGCAAGACAACAUUCUCUGAUGUUUUCCGGGUUUUCUCUGCUCUCGUGAUGACAGCUGUUGGAGUGUCUCAGUCAGGUUCCCUAGCCCCUAAUCUUGGUAAAGUAAAGAGCUCUGCUGCUUCCAUAUUUGCCAUUCUUGACCGGAAAUCAAAAAUAGACUCUAGUGAUGAAUCUGGAACAACUAUAGAAAAUGUGAAGGGAGAAAUUGAACUUCGCCAUGUCAGUUUCAAGUAUCCAACUAGACCUGAUGUACCAAUCUUCCAGGAUCUUUGCUUGACCAUUCAUCAUGGCAAGACAGUUGCUUUGGUUGGAGAAAGUGGAAGUGGGAAAUCGACAGUCGUCUCAUUGUUGCAGAGAUUUUACGACCCUGAUUCAGGUCACAUUACAUUAGAUGGAUUUGAAAUCCAAAAGCUACAGCUCAAGUGGUUGAGACAGCAAAUGGGACUGGUGAGCCCGGAGCCUGUAUUGUUUAAUGACACUAUCAGAGCCAACAUUGCAUAUGGAAAGGAAGGGAAUGCACCAGAGGCUGAAAUUAUAGCUGCUGCAGAAUUGGCAAAUGCACACAAGUUCAUCAGUAGUUUACAACAGGGUUAUGAUACAAUAGUAGGAGAGCGGGGGAUUCAAUUGUCUGGUGGACAGAAGCAAAGGGUGGCAAUUGCACGAGCUAUAAUGAAGGCACCAAAGAUACUACUCCUAGAUGAAGCCACAAGUGCUCUUGAUGCUGAAUCGGAACGAGUGGUUCAAGAUGCAUUGGAGCGAAUCAUGGUGGAUCGAACCACAAUCGUUGUUGCCCAUCGGUUAUCCACAAUAAAGGGUGCGGAUGUAAUCGCUGUGGUGAAAAAUGGAGUCAUUGCAGAGAAAGGAAAGCAUGAAACUUUAAUCGGUAUCAAGGAUGGCAUUUAUGCUUCUUUGGUAGCAUUGCAUGCAAGCGCCUCAUCUUAGAUAGCUUUUAUAUUCGUUUUUAUCCAAAGAAAAAUAAAGUACAUAAUGUAAUUUUAUUCAGAGAGGUAAAUUACCAUAUAGGAAUAGAUCAUUUUUGUAUUAUCCUUCGUUCUUGUAAGCUCUAAAAUUUGAUUCGGUUA
This is a non-coding RNA of Prunus avium (sweet cherry), 4203 nucleotides long. Lineage: Eukaryota; Viridiplantae; Streptophyta; Magnoliopsida; Rosales; Rosaceae. The record is from RefSeq and is a predicted model, not a curated record.